This 434-nucleotide ribosomal RNA is filed under the name uncultured Ruminococcus sp. RNAcentral's name for it is "partial 16S ribosomal RNA". It matches the Rfam family "Bacterial small subunit ribosomal RNA", at positions 341 to 792 of the family's 1533-position model. Lineage: Bacteria; Bacillati; Bacillota; Clostridia; Eubacteriales; Oscillospiraceae. The record is from RNAcentral.
ACGGAAGGCAGCAGUGGGGAUUAUUGCACAAUGGGCGGAAGCCUGAUGCAGCGAUGCCGCGUGAGGGAAGAAGGUUUUCGGAUUGCAAACCUCUGUCCUCAGGGACGAUAAUGACGGUACCUGAAGAGGAAGCUCCGGCUAACUACGUGCCAGCAGCCGCGGUAAUACGUAGGGAGCGAGCGUUGUCCGGAAUUACUGGGUGUAAAGGGUGCGUAGGCGGGACGGCAAGUCAGAUGUGAAAUGUAUGGGCUCAACCCAUAACCUGCAUUUGAAACUGUUGUUCUUGAGUGAGGUAGAGGUAAGCGGAAUUCCUAGUGUAGCGGUGAAAUGCGUAGAUAUUAGGAGGAACAUCGGUGGCGAAGGCGGCUUACUGGGCCUUUACUGACGCUGAGGCACGAAAGCGUGGGGAGCAAACAGGAUUAGAUACCCUGGUA